This 232-nucleotide ribosomal RNA is filed under the name uncultured bacterium. Its description in RNAcentral is "partial 16S ribosomal RNA". It matches the Rfam family "Bacterial small subunit ribosomal RNA", at positions 118 to 351 of the family's 1533-position model. The record is from RNAcentral.
UGAGUAACCUGCCCCAAACUCUGGGAUAAGCACUGGAAACGGUGUCUAAUACCGGAUAUGAGCUUCAGCCGCAUGGCUAGGAGUUGGAAAGAAUUUCGGUUUGGGAUGGACUCGCGGCCUAUCAGCUAGUUGGUGAGGUAAUGGCUCACCAAGGCGACGACGGGUAGUCGGCCUGAGAGGGUGACCGGCCACACUGGGACUGAGACACGGCCCAGACUCCUACGGGAGGCAG